RNAcentral lists this ribosomal RNA (253 nucleotides) under uncultured bacterium. RNAcentral's name for it is "partial 16S ribosomal RNA". It matches the Rfam family "Bacterial small subunit ribosomal RNA", at positions 524 to 776 of the family's 1533-position model. The record is from RNAcentral.
UAAGAAGCGGGCUAGCGUUGUUCGGAAUCACUGGGCGUAAAGCGCACGUAGGCGGAUUUGUAAGUCAGGGGUGAAAUCCCGGGGCUCAACCUCGGAACUGCCUUUGAUACUGCAAGUCUCGAGUCCGAGAGAGGUGAGUGGAAUUCCUAGUGUAGAGGUGAAAUUCGUAGAUAUUAGGAAGAACACCAGUGGCGAAGGCGGCUCACUGGCUCGGUACUGACGCUGAGGUGCGAAAGCGUGGGGAGCAAACAGG